Molecule: ribosomal RNA, 396 nt
Filed under: uncultured bacterium
Lineage: Bacteria
Description: partial 16S ribosomal RNA
Rfam family: Bacterial small subunit ribosomal RNA
Source: RNAcentral
CCUACGGGAGGCAGCAGUGAGGAAUAUUGGUCAAUGGACGCAAUUCUGAACCAGCCAUGCCGCGUGCAGGAAGACGGCUCUAUGAGUUGUAAACUGCUUUUGUACGAGGAUAAACGCAGAUACGCGUAUCUGUCUGAGAGUAUCGGACGAAUAAGGAUCGGCUAACUCCGUGCCAGCAGCCGCGGUAAUACGGAGGAUUCGAGCGUUAUCCGGAUUUAUUGGGUUUAAAGGGUGCGUAGGCGGUCGGAUAAGUUAGAGGUGAAAUUCCGAGGCUCAACUUCGGACUUGCCUCUGAUACUGUUCGGCUAGAGAGUACUUGCGGUACGCGGAAUGUACGGUGUAGCGGUGAAAUGCUUAGAGAGCAUACAGAACACCGAUUGCGAAGGCAGCGUACCA